GUGGGGAAUCUUGCACAAUGGGGGAAACCCUGAUGCAGCGACGCCGCGUGAGCGAUGAAGCCCUUCGGGGUGUAAAGCUCUUUCGGCAGGAAAGAUGAUGACGGUACCUGCGGAAGAAGCUGCGGCUAACUACGUGCCAGCAGCCGCGGUAAUACGUAGGCAGCGAGCGUUGUUCGGAGUUACUGGGCGUAAAGAGUGUGUAGGCGGUCCGGCAAGUUCGGUGUGAAAUCUCCCGGCUCAACUGGGAGGGUGCGCCGAAAACUGCCGGGCUCGAGUGUGGGAGAGGAAAGCGGAAUUCCUGGUGUAGCGGUGAAAUGCGUAGAUAUCAGGAGGAACACCUGCGGUGUAGACGGCUUUCUGGACCACCACUGACGCUGAGACACGAAAGCGUGGGUAGCAAACAGGAUUAGAAACCCUGGUAGUCC
Molecule: ribosomal RNA, 425 nt
Filed under: uncultured bacterium
Lineage: Bacteria
Description: bacterial SSU rRNA
Rfam family: Bacterial small subunit ribosomal RNA
Source: RNAcentral